CCUACGGGUGGCUGCAGUGGGGAAUAUUGCACAAUGGGCGCAAGCCUGAUGCAGCCAUGCCGCGUGUAUGAAGAAGGCCUUCGGGUUGUAAAGUACUUUCAGUCGUGAGGAAGGUGUUAAGGUUAAUAACCUUAGCAAUUGACGUUAGCGACAGAAGAAGCACCGGCUAACUCCGUGCCAGCAGCCGCGGUAAUACGGAGGGUGCGAGCGUUAAUCGGAAUUACUGGGCGUAAAGGGCACGCAGGCGGUUACUUAAUGUAGACGUGAACUCCCCCGGCUUAACCUGGGAAUGUCAUUCAAGACUGGUUAACUAGAGGCUUGUAGAGGGGGGUAGAAUUCCAUGUGUAGCGGUGAAAUGAGUAGAGAUGUGGAGGAAUUCCGGUGGCGAAGGUGGACACCUGGACAAAGACUGACGCGCAUGAGAGAAAGCGUGGGGAGCAACCAGGAUUAGAUACCCCUGUAGUC
Molecule: ribosomal RNA, 465 nt
Filed under: uncultured Arsenophonus sp.
Lineage: Bacteria; Pseudomonadati; Pseudomonadota; Gammaproteobacteria; Enterobacterales; Morganellaceae
Description: bacterial SSU rRNA
Rfam family: Bacterial small subunit ribosomal RNA
Source: RNAcentral